RNAcentral lists this ribosomal RNA (504 nucleotides) under uncultured bacterium. RNAcentral describes it as "partial 16S ribosomal RNA". It matches the Rfam family "Bacterial small subunit ribosomal RNA", at positions 30 to 523 of the family's 1533-position model. The record is from RNAcentral.
AUUGAACGCUGGCGGCAGGCCUAACACAUGCAAGUCGAGCGGUAACACAGGGAGCUUGCUCCUGGGUGACGAGCGGCGGACGGGUGAGUAAUGUCUGGGAAACUGCCUGAUGGAGGGGGAUAACUACUGGAAACGGUAGCUAAUACCGCAUAACGUCUACGGACCAAAGUGGGGGACCUUCGGGCCUCAUGCCAUCAGAUGUGCCCAGAUGGGAUUAGCUAGUAGGUGGGGUAAUGGCUCACCUAGGCGACGAUCCCUAGCUGGUCUGAGAGGAUGACCAGCCAAACUGGAACUGAGACACGGUCCAGACUCCUACGGGAGGCAGCAGUGGGGAAUAUUGCACAAUGGGCGCAAGCCUGAUGCAGCCAUGCCGCGUGUGUGAAGAAGGCCUUCGGGUUGUAAAGCACUUUCAGCGAGGAGGAAGGGUAGUGUGUUAAUAGCACAUUGCAUUGACGUUACUCGCAGAAGAAGCACCGGCUAGCUCCGUGCCAGCCGCCGCCGUAA